This 1114-nucleotide long non-coding RNA is filed under the name Ananas comosus (pineapple). RNAcentral's name for it is "long non-coding RNA (ACOM_LNC014663)". Lineage: Eukaryota; Viridiplantae; Streptophyta; Magnoliopsida; Poales; Bromeliaceae. The record is from RNAcentral.
ACAAAGCAUAUCUUUAAAAAUAUAUUUAUUUUAAUUUUUUAUACAUAUAUAAAUAUAUAAUAUAAAGAGGCAAUUGCUUAUAUACUUCUGAAAAUUUUUCGACUUUCGAAUUUACCCUUCUCUUAGAAGGUUAAUAUUGAAAAUACCUUUUUUACGUUCCAACCUAUUUCAAAUAUACUCCUAAAGUUGAAAUCUGUUAAUGAACUCUGUUAUCUAUAUGAAAUUACCAUUUUGCCUUUCAAAUAUACCCUUCUACCGUUAUUGACUUUUCUUAUUUGCCUAUAAGUUACGGGCACAAAAAGUAUUUUGCUCUUUGGUCUUUUCAAAUAUAUCCUUCUAUCAUCACCAACAUUUCUUAUUUGCCCUUUAAGUUAAGGGCAAAAGUGAAAUUUUAAUUUUUUUUUAACUGUGGUAGAUAUUUAACUCACGUUUAACUCAAGUUAAUUUAACGGGUGGUAACUGUAGGGAUAUUUUGGAAUAACGGAAGAACAUAUAUAUGAGGGGUGUGUUAUAAAGAAAAAAAAAGUAAGGAUAAAUGAGAUAUUUUUAAAAUUUUGAGGGGUAUAUAGGCAAUCAUCGCAAAUAUAAAAUGAUAAAUAUUUUUAUUUUUUAAUGAAUGCAUAUAAAUUUCUUUUAGGUAAUAUAAAUAAAUUAGUUAUGUUGGAGAAUUUUUUUUCUUAAAAAAUAUGAACUAUCAAUAAAAAUUUUAUGAACUUAAUUUCUUUGUAUGAGAAGUAUAGUAAUAUAUAAAUAAAUUAAUAUUUUAUAUAUGAUAAAUAGAUAUUAUAAUAUUAAUAAUAUUAUUAUAUUUAAUUUACUAAAUGUGUGUCCAUUUUUGUGUUCAUGCUGCUUAGAUUUCUGCAGUAUUAUUUUUAAAUUAAAUUGUCAUAAUCAAAUAUUUCAAUAUAAUACAGUUGCUUGAAUAAUAAUGUGUCGCUGAUAUUACAGUGAUGUGGUAAUGUUAUAAAUUUGAUGACGCAAUAAUAAGCUAGAUACUUAAUUUAUUAAUAUAAUACUAUAUUAGUGACACAUUAUCACCAAGCUAGUCGACUAAUUAAAUUGGUAUGUAGGACUUAAUUGUAAUAAUUUACAGCGAAUUAAAUUUUAAGGAUCG